GUACACUCCUGCGGGAGGCAGCAGUGGGGAAUUUUGGACAAUGGGCGAAAGCCUGAUCCAGCCAUGCCGCGUGCAGGAUGAAGGCCUUCGGGUUGUAAACUGCUUUUGUACGGAACGAAACGGCCUUUUCUAAUAAAGAGGGCUAAUGACGGUACCGUAAGAAUAAGCACCGGCUAACUACGUGCCAGCAGCCGCGGUAAUACGUAGGGUGCAAGCGUUAAUCGGAAUUACUGGGCGUAAAGCGUGCGCAGGCGGUUAUGUAAGACAGUUGUGAAAUCCCCGGGCUCAACCUGGGAACUGCAUCUGUGACUGCAUAGCUAGAGUACGGUAGAGGGGGAUGGAAUUCCGCGUGUAGCAGUGAAAUGCGUAGAUAUGCGGAGGAACACCGAUGGCGAAGGCAAUCCCCUGGACCUGUACUGACGCUCAUGCACGAAAGCGUGGGGAGCAAACAGGAUUAGAUACCCCUGUAGUCC
This 473-nucleotide ribosomal RNA is filed under the name uncultured organism. Its description in RNAcentral is "partial 16S ribosomal RNA". It matches the Rfam family "Bacterial small subunit ribosomal RNA", at positions 331 to 796 of the family's 1533-position model. The record is from RNAcentral.